CCAGACGGUGUUCCAUAACUUCAGCAUCGAUCCAUGGCAUGUCCGUCGGAGCCCAAGCAAAAAUGUUCGCAUUCUUUUGUAAAAAGUUGAUAAGCUGUGUCUGUACCUCUUCCCCCAAGUUGGAGCCGAUCUUCACCACGUGCUCUUCAUUCCCAUCGUUCAAAAGAAUUGAGACAAGAUCUUCAAUUGGCUUACCCCUUUCUUCAGCAAGAUCGUCGCGAGUGUCAAAUCCAUCAACCGGGCAGG
RNAcentral lists this long non-coding RNA (246 nucleotides) under Elaeis guineensis (African oil palm). RNAcentral's name for it is "long non-coding RNA (EGUI_LNC080825)". The record is from RNAcentral. Lineage: Eukaryota; Viridiplantae; Streptophyta; Magnoliopsida; Arecales; Arecaceae.